Molecule: ribosomal RNA, 1224 nt
Filed under: Triticum aestivum (bread wheat)
Lineage: Eukaryota; Viridiplantae; Streptophyta; Magnoliopsida; Poales; Poaceae
Description: partial small subunit ribosomal RNA
Source: RNAcentral
AUGUUGAUGCCAGAUCUAGGUCGCCGAUCCGGUCGCCGUCGUCCCAUGACCGGUCCCUGCGCAAUGCGCCGGUGGAGAUGGUGCCGGAGACGCCGCCGGAGCUCCAGGGCGUCCAGCCGCGGGUCGCAUCCAUCAUCAUCGUCCCGUCGCCUCAACUCCUCGGCGCCUCGUCCUCUUCCUGCAGCGGCUCUCCAGCGGAUGCGGGGCGUGACGCAGAUGCGUCUGGCGAGGGAUGGCAGCUCGUGUGCUCCCGGCGUGGCCCGCGCCUCCCGCCUCCUCCUGCACCGGCCUCUGCUUGACGCCCCCCUUCCUGCCUGGCUGCACGGGAGAUGCUGCUGCUGCCUCGCCCCGGGUCACCGUGCUUUGGUUUGCCGGGAUCCCUUCAGGUGCUCUCGCUGCCUCCAGCCCGGCCACCGUGCUCGCGGAUGUACCAAUGCGUGGCGCCCGCUCGGCUCCCUGAAGAUCCUGCGGCGGCCUGCUACAGCUCCCCCUGUGGCUCCCCGGCCACCGACUCAUGGUUGGCCUGCUCCUCCGCAAGCUGAAAUGCCCACCUCGUCAGCAUGGCCUCAACUCGGAGGUGCUGUCCUGCGGAGGGAAGGUCUUGCUGCUACGGAUAUGCUGCACCAAACACCAACCAGCUCUGGUCAUGUGGCGACAGUUUGGCUUGCCGGGGCGCAGUCAGAUGCCUCUUGCAAGGCCGUGGCAGAGGCCCUUGCGUCCGCGAUCGGCGCCAACGUCGUGGAUAUCAGGGCCAUCCGCCAAUUUGUGGAUGCCACCGUCGAUCGUCAAUCUCCGUCCAGGACUAUGCUCCCCUCGCCGUCUUCAUCUGCAUCACGGCCCCCAGGAUUUGAAGCUUCUCCGGUGACGAGCUCUGCCCCACAGACGCCGCCCUUCAUUACCGAUGCUUGCCGCACACCUUGCAGUACAGCGACUGAUGAUGUUUGUUCCCCUACUACCGAGACGGUCGCUGUCUCCGCUACGCCGCCCCAGACUCCUGGUCCAGCACCUACUCUGCAUGUCACCCCUACAAGUCAGGUGAUGGUUCAUGAAGAGCAGGAACUGCCGGCUGGGUUUGACACCCUGUUUCAGCCGCGUCAGGAGGCCAUCUUGGGCUCCCCUCCAACACUGCAAGGGAAACAACCAGGACGACGUAGAAAGACCAUGGCUGGGAUGUCCAUUGACCAGGAAGGGGCUGCUUUCUGUCACGACCGGUUUUCCGGGUAA